CAGCUCCCGAGGCAUAUCGCAGCCUCCCACGUCCUUCAUCGGCUCCUGGUGCCAAGACAUCCACCGUGCGCCCUUAAUAACUUGGCCACAAAGAUAAAGAUGCUCGCGUCCACUGUGCAGUUCUCAAACUACGAACGGAAACCAGCCGCACCUGCGGGACCCACCACCACCACCACCACCGGUAUCCCACGACGAACCAGCCCGCAAACCUGCCUCCCACCAGCCCCAAAAGGCCAGCAGAAGGCAGGAUCAUACACGAGGGCAACUCACUCCCUCACAACCCAACAGCGUACCGAUCCACCCAGACAACCCACCACCCAGAGAACACACAGGAACCCCGGACAACAGACCAGACUAGACAGAAACAUAGUCAGCGUUCCACACCCAUGAGCACCCAGACCAACCAUCCAGCUGGUCUUCGCUCUGGACCAGACACCCUCCACUACAGAGGGCACCCAGCCAGAAAGCUCCUUAGAAAGGAGGUGAUCCAGCCGCACCUUCCGGUACGGCUACCUUGUUACGACUUCGUCCCAAUCGCCGGUCCCACCUUCGACGGCUCCCCCCACAAGGGUUGGGCCACCGGCUUCGGGUGUUACCGACUUUCGUGACGUGACGGGCGGUGUGUACCAGGGCCG
This 635-nucleotide ribosomal RNA is filed under the name uncultured Frankia sp. RNAcentral's name for it is "partial 16S ribosomal RNA". Lineage: Bacteria; Bacillati; Actinomycetota; Actinomycetes; Frankiales; Frankiaceae. The record is from RNAcentral.